CAUUAUUGAUGUUUCAUAAUGCAAAAUACCCUUCUUUUGCUACAGGGUUUCUUUGUUUUAGUGUUUGGAACACUUCUGGACAGCAAGGUCCGACAGUCACUGGCAGGAAAGUUGAAGCUAAAACUUAAUUCUGACCGUACCAAGAGCACUACUUCUACAGGACCAUCUUCUUCAGUCAAACUGGGUUGCUUUGGAUGGAUGCGGCGUAAACAUAUUUACCACGUAUCUGAUCCCAACCAUUUCUCAAGACCACCAUUAAACAAGACAGGAGUCUCAUCAAGUUAAUAAACUAUGUUCUGUUACUGAGUUUGGCUUACAAAAGUUUCAGGAGUAAUUGCUUUAACUCUUUCCCUGCCAUUGACGAGUUAUUUUGUCAAUUAAGAGAAAACAUUUGCAUGAAAAAAACGUGUUCCUGAUGACGUUUCAUGGUUAUCUGUAAUACCGUGAUUAUCCAUGAGAUUACCCAAUUGAUAAAAAA
This is a non-coding RNA of Paramisgurnus dabryanus, 478 nucleotides long. Lineage: Eukaryota; Metazoa; Chordata; Actinopteri; Cypriniformes; Cobitidae. The record is from RefSeq and is a predicted model, not a curated record.